RNAcentral lists this ribosomal RNA (468 nucleotides) under uncultured bacterium. Its description in RNAcentral is "partial 16S ribosomal RNA". It matches the Rfam family "Bacterial small subunit ribosomal RNA", at positions 28 to 507 of the family's 1533-position model. The record is from RNAcentral.
GACGAACCCUGGCGGCGCGCCUAACACAUGCAAGUCGAACGGAGUCAAGAGGAGCUUGCUUUUCUUGACUUAGUGGCGAACGGGUGAGUAACGCGUGAGUAACCUGCCCUGGAGUGGGGGACAACAGUUGGAAACGACUGCUAAUACCGCAUAAGCCCACGGAUCCGCAUGGAUCUGCGGGAAAAGGAUUUAUUCGCUUCAGGAUGGACUCGCGUCCAAUUAGCUAGUUGGUGAGGUAACGGCCCACCAAGGCGACGAUUGGUAGCCGGACUGAGAGGUUGAACGGCCACAUUGGGACUGAGACACGGCCCAGACUCCUACGGGAGGCAGCAGUGGGGGAUAUUGCACAAUGGGGGAAACCCUGAUGCAGCGACGCCGCGUGGAGGAAGAAGGUUUUCGGAUUGUAAACUCCUGUCGUUAGGGACGAUAAUGACGGUACCUAACAAGAAAGCACCGGCUAACUACGUG